UUGUAUUGUUUUGUGGUGUUUGCCUGUG
Molecule: non-coding RNA, 28 nt
Filed under: Mus musculus (house mouse)
Lineage: Eukaryota; Metazoa; Chordata; Mammalia; Rodentia; Muridae
Source: RNAcentral